AUGGACAAAAACAGAAAAAAUGAUGUCACAAUAUUUUUUAUUAUUUUUCAGUCUUUGAGCGAUUGCAGUAUGACUCCAUUUCCCUGGUGCAUUCAUAUAAUAGUUCACUUGGUGAAAAUAAUGAAGACUAUUUACAAUGCUACCCUGCUUUUUCUGAUGUCCUACACCUGGAAGUUGUGCUUUUUAAGGUACUUCACUCAAGCAGGUGACACCCAAGGGGAGUAGACGGACCAGAAACAAGAGUGCCACAUAGAAGGAAGAGAGGGGACCUUGGACCUUAGCUACUGGUUAGCUAUUCAACUUUGAUGAUAUUCAGCAUUUUCCCAAGUUAUUCUUUCUCACUUCUCAUCACAUAAUUUACAUUAUGUAUACUAUGUGCCGGAGACUGUUAGUGCUUGACAUGUAGUCAGUUAAUUUUCACAACUGUGUAAAGUAGGUUUCUAUCAUUAGCUCUAUCUUAGGGCCAAAGAAAUGGAAGCACAGAGAGGUUAAAUUGUAUUCCUAAAGCACUACACAGUUAGCAAAUAGAUUCAGACCUGUGCAGUCUAACCCAGAAUUAGCUCUGAAUCACUCUACCAUUUUGUCUACAGGACGACAAGCCUGUGUGUUUCAGGCACUCUCAUGGUGAUUUUUCACACAGGACAGCUUUCGAUAAUAGAAAGGCCCUCUCUUUCAAAUGAAAGGACUUCACUGAUGGAUUAACAAAUUCUCACCCAUUCACCUAUGUGAGCAAAAUACUAGAUCUACUUUCUUAGUCUUCAUAACAAGCAGGACGAUAACCAUAAUUUAUAAUGAAUACAAAACAUUGAUUUAGUGUUCAAAGAACUUUUGCACACUUGUUCUCAUUUAGAAGAGUGAAGUAAUCUGGAGACAUAGAAUAGGCAUUCACUUUGGCUUUAGGAAGAACUUUCACAAAAUCAGAGGUUGCCCUACGUAAUACCACACUUUUUACCUUGAGCAGGUGGAUAGCUUGGGGGUUCCAUUAUACCUCAAUCUUAGUCCAUUCUAUUUGUUCCCCUGCCCUUCAGCAAUGCCUUUAGACUUGCUUUAAACAUUAACCGCAUUCGUAAGCAUGGUAUCUAGGGUCAGAACCCAGCCUCCCUCCACCCACCCAGCUCCCUACAUACCUUGACAGUGCUCUUUGAGAUGCCUCAGUUCUAGUCUCCUUGUAAUUGUGCAAGGUAGAUGUCUGAACAAAUAGACCAGAGUCCUGCAAAAGUGAUCU
Molecule: long non-coding RNA, 1225 nt
Filed under: Piliocolobus tephrosceles (Ugandan red Colobus)
Lineage: Eukaryota; Metazoa; Chordata; Mammalia; Primates; Cercopithecidae
Description: lncRNA (ENSPTEG00000015123.1)
Source: RNAcentral